UAAUCGCUACUAGUGUGCACCUGAAUCCUCUUCAAGGUUUGUUUCCCCCCAUUUUAGUUUAUUGCUUGAACUGAAGGAAUGAAUUAUUUUGUAAAAGAUCAAAAGCUACAUUUUGAGUCUCCUAAUCUAUUAGGCCAAUCAUGGAAAAAGAUAAUGUUGAAGGCAAAUAUAAUGCUCCACCUUACUGUUUGUUUGGUUCAUUUUCUUGCUGAGUUGUGUAUUAAUUUCUUUCUUUAUGGACAAUGCUAUGGAAUAAAUUUUGUUAAUUGAGGGAUUCCAGUGGAUUUGCAUUUUCUUGACUGCGACUUUCACAUUUCACACGUGAUUUUGAAUUCAUGAGGAAACAAUAGUUUGAGGCUGUAGGGAGACUCCAAAAAUGGACAUGAAUUCAAUGCUAUAAAUAUGCACAAGUUUCUAUACCCAUAGCAAAAUUGUUGUGCAUUUCCAAUUUUCUAUUAUCUAUUUCAUUGGAUUUGGUUUAUGUUUCCUUAAACGUUAGCAUUUCUUUAGUUGUAGUGGUGAAAAAUGGACGACAUGCAUGAUGACUUCUUGGUGUUGUCUACUGAGGAUAACGUUGCGGAAAAUGUUAACAUUGUCGAAAAUGAAAUGAUAGAAGGGGAUGGUGUGAUCGUUCCUAAGGUGGGUAUGAUCUUUAAGGAUGAAAAAGAAAUGUUUGAGAUGUACAAGAAAUAUGCUUAUAACGUCGAUUUUCCAGUUAGGAACAAAUAUUCUAAAAAGAGUAAGGAUGGAGUUCUUAGAUAGGUGACCUUCACUUGUAGUCGUAAAGGUCGAAGAAGCUAUAGUACAAAGGGUUCUUUGAAGCCACAGCCAACAUGUCAGACAAACUGUAAAGGAAGGAUCUCGGCAUCUUCAAGUGUUCAAGGAAAUUGGAGAAUUAACACAGUCCACUUCGAGCACAAUCAUAAAACAAGUCCUUCAAAGUCUAGGCUGUAUCGAUGCAAUAGAGAAUUGACUACAAAUGUGAAGCGUAAGCUCAAGGUGAAUGAUAUUGUAGGAAUUCCAUUACACAAAAGGUACAACUCCGCAGUUGUCGAAGCAGGCGAAUAUGAGAAUAUGACAUGCCUUGAAAAGGAUUGUCGGAACUAUGUUGAACAAGUAAGACGAUUACGACUUGGAGUAAGAGAUGCCGCCACUAUACAAAUAUACUUUUCAAAGAUGCAAGCAUAGUGCUCCGAAUUUUAUUUCAACAUGGACCUAGACGAUGAGUCACGGUUAAAAAACGUAUUUUGGGCAGAAAAUAGGUGCAGACAAGCAUACAAGGAGUUCGGUGAUGUCGUCACAUUUGACACCACUUAUCUUACUAAUAAGUUCGACAUGCCUUUCACACCCUUCAUUGGAGUGAAUCACCAUGGACAAUCAAUAUUGCUUGGGUGUGGUUUAUUAUCAAAUGAGGAUACAGAUAUUUUUGAGUGGCUUUUGAAGACGUGGCUUCAGUGUGUAAAUGGGUCUUUGCAUAGAAUAAUUACUGAUCAGGACAAAGCAAUGCAAAAUGCAAUUCAGAUUGUUUUUCCAAAUACAAGACAUGAAUGGUGUUUGCUGCACAUUAUGAAGAAGUUGCCAGAGAAGUUUGGUUAUCACGUUGAUAAGGCAUCGAUAUUCUCGUCUAUACACAAACUAGUAUAUGAUUCUCAGUUUGUUCAAGAAUUUGAAGAAGGUUAGUGGUCGAUGAUCGACGAGUUUGAAUGACAUGAUAAUAAUUGGUUGUCGGGUCUAUAUGAGAAUAGAGGUCUCCGGGUGCCAUGUUUUUUGAAUACCAAUUUUUGGGCGGGGAUGUCAAUAGCGCAGUGAAGUGAGAGUAUGCAUGCCUUUUUUGAUGGAUAUGUCCAUUUGAAAACCUCGUUGAACCAAUUUGUAGAACAGUACAAAAGAGCUCUGUGAAAGAAGGUAGAGAAAAAACUUCAGGCUAAUUUUAAAUCAUUCACGCAAAUAUUCCCUGUGCUACAAAUUUUGAGAUUGAGAAGUUAUUUCAAUAAGUUUACACUAUGUCCAAAUUCAAGGAAGUUCAAGAUGAGUUCACGGGAAAGGUUUACUGUGACAUCAUAUCUGUUUCUGAGGGAUGUUCGGGGACUGCAUAUGAGGUACGAGAGGAUGUUAUGUAUAAUGAGCACCAGAAGAAAAGAAUAAUUUUCGUUUCUUUUCGGAGAGAUGGAUGUGAGAUUAGUUGCUACUGCCACUUGUUCGAGUUCGGAGCAUAAUUUGUAGGCACGCGAUCACAGUUUUGAUCCACAAUGAUGUCACAUUACUUUCGAAGAGAUAUAUAAUACGGAGAUGGAGGAGAGAUGUACGUAGAGCACUCACUAGGGUAAUAGUGAACUACAAUGGUUUGAUUAGUACUCUAGAGCAAUUGAGAUACAAUGAUAUGUGUCAGGCUUUUACAGAGGUAGCAGACCUUGCUACAGAUGAUGAAGUGUGGACACGUGAGGUAAUGGAUUGGAUAAACAACAAGGCGAAAGAUUUGAGGUUAAACAAGUCAAGCAGUGAAAGCAAUUUUGUGUGACAACAUAAUAUUCAGUUAGAAUCCCAGUGCUGUGAUUCGCUUAAUAGUGCAAAUGCGAGCAUACUAGAUCCAAAAUCGUCGAAAAGAAAAGGUGCACCAAGGAAACUUCGAAAAAAAAAGCCAAUUGGAGUCGAUUUCAAAGAAAUCGAAGGCAACUUCAAAUUUAAACAAAGGAAAGAGACCGAAACCAUGGGAUAGUAAUACAGAUGAGGCUACACCCAACAUUCAACCAUUUCAACAAACACAAUAUUCACAAUCAAUGUCGUUCUCGUAUUCACACCUAUUAUUGGCCGACACUAGAACUCACGUGUUUACCCAACAAUUACUGGAUAUGAAUUUGACCCCUCCGUCGUCUUUGAACAAUGUACUCGGUUCUGCGGGUAUGGGCAUUUUUCAAUCAUUCUAACUCAAUAUGUGCAUGGACAGUAUUAAUGCAGUAAUGUCCGUGGUGCACAUUAGGUCAAUCGUUGCAAUCCUGCUACUCACAUUUACUGUAUAAUGGUGGCGCAGGAACAUAGGCGAGUGGAAGUUCGGUGAUUUUUUUUUUUACUUUGUUUUUUAUCUUUUGCAUUGCUAAAUGCAAAAUGGUAAUAUGGGCUUGGAGAGCAUUGUAAUGUUUUGUUUAUGCCGUCUUACAGAUUGUCCAUAAGAAGACAGCUUCUAUGUAGUGCUUAACUUCAGUUAAGAAUGAAGACAAGAUGGACUUCAGCAGGAUCUUGGAAGCUAUUAAGUAUGAUGAGACCAGGAAGAAGUGGGGUGGUGGAGUAAUGGG
This is a long non-coding RNA of Olea europaea var. sylvestris, 3290 nucleotides long. RefSeq lists it as uncharacterized. NCBI's taxonomy places the organism in Eukaryota, Viridiplantae, Streptophyta, Magnoliopsida, Lamiales, Oleaceae. The record is from RefSeq and is a predicted model, not a curated record. The transcript is spliced from 4 exons.